RNAcentral lists this long non-coding RNA (623 nucleotides) under Trifolium pratense (red clover). Its description in RNAcentral is "long non-coding RNA (TPRA_LNC001963)". Lineage: Eukaryota; Viridiplantae; Streptophyta; Magnoliopsida; Fabales; Fabaceae. The record is from RNAcentral.
AUUGAUUGAGCAAUCCCUUAUGUGAUAACUGCUAGAGAGCACUGCGAGGAUCAUCGUUAAAGGACGGAGAAAAAUGCAUCUCAGGAGAGACGAGGUGUCGAGCCAGGAUUGCAUGAGACCAUUGCGCAUCUUCCAUUGAAACCAGCUCAAGGUAGGCCCAUCUAUGUAAAAACGAGGCAAUGGUAAGACGUUUUGGGUCCGGUUUUACUUUCUCGUUGUAUGCUUUAUGAGUUAAUGCACUAUUAAACAAGGUUUUUGUCACAAAUAUGAUCUAGUCAUCUAGAGCGAUUUUCUGUCACAACAUACUAUUUUUGUAACUUGUGGAAAUUUCUUUUUCCUUUCUUGGUACUCAUUCUUUAUUAUUUAAAUUUGAUCCUAAACCUUUAUCUGAUACAUAAAUUUCUAGAUGUGUUGGUGCACUUCUUGCCUUUGCGGCGAGUUCUUAAAUUCAUCGUUUUGAAUUUUGAUCCAAAAUGUAUGAGCAGCCUUUGUUUCAAUUCAUUUACUUGCAGAUUGAUAGAUGAAAUAUUUCUAUGUUAUGAUAUGGAGAGUAACUUUUGUUUUUCAGUCGAGAGAUAACAAUGCUAUUUCACUUGAAGGUUGCUAACUUGCUGCUCAUCACU